Molecule: ribosomal RNA, 440 nt
Filed under: uncultured bacterium
Lineage: Bacteria
Description: bacterial SSU rRNA
Rfam family: Bacterial small subunit ribosomal RNA
Source: RNAcentral
GAUGAACGCUGGCGGCGUGCUUAACACAUGCAAGUCGAACGGGAUCCAUCAGGCUUUGCUUGGUGGUGAGAGUGGCGAACGGGUGAGUAAUGCGUGACCGACCUGCCCCAUACACCGGAAUAGCUCCUGGAAACGGGUGGUAAUGCCGGAUGCUCCGACUCCUCGCAUGGGGUGUCGGGAAAGAUUUCAUCGGUAUGAGAUGGGGUCGCGUCCUAUCAGGUAGUCGGCGGGGUAACGGCCCACCGAGCCUACGACGGGUAGCCGGCCUGAGAGGGCGACCGGCCACAUUGGGACUGAGAUACGGCCCAGACUCCUACGGGAGGCAGCAGUGGGGAAUAUUGCACAAUGGGCGCAAGCCUGAUGCAGCGACGCCGCGUGCGGGAUGACGGCCUUCGGGUUGUAAACCGCUUUUGAUCGGGAGCAAGCCUUCGGGUGAGUGU